CUUGUCCUCAGACUUUGAUGUAAUUUAGUAAUUAUAUUAAUUAUAUGAGUUAUUUUUCUCAUUUUACAAGCUCCUCCCUACGACUUGCAGGGUGCUCAGGAUGACAUCAAUAGUGAGCAAAACUUCCAGGGUGCUCAGGAUGACAUCACUAGUGACAAAAACUUGCAAGGUGCUCAGGAUGACAUCAGUACUAUGCAAAAAGAGUUUGAGAGAGACGAUGCACGAAAAUCAGACGUAACAGGAGGGUCUACGAUGAGAGGACGGAAGAAGAGAGACAGGAAAUCCACAUUUGCAAAUAAUGAGGAUUUUAUUUAUUUUGAUGAACCCAAAAAAACUAAAAGAGUCAAGAAAACUCCGAAAGACAUGAGUACUCCCAGAACGGGAACGGAUUAUGCUCCAGAUGAGAAGAUUGUUGACGAGGUCAUUGACUAUGUCAAUACAUCCCCCUCUUCGAAAGUGUUGGUACAAAUUGAUGAAAUACAUCUAUAUCGCGCUGAUCUUAGAUGCUUGACAGCACCAACCUUUCAAAGUACUAAGGACGGAUGGCUGCAAUGCAAGAUCUUGGAUGCAGCCAUAACAUGGGUACGCCACAUGCGCCCCAAUCCAGAUGUACGGGCCGACGGG
Long non-coding RNA from Triticum dicoccoides, 624 nucleotides. RefSeq lists it as uncharacterized. The transcript has 3 exons. The record is from RefSeq and is a predicted model, not a curated record. Lineage: Eukaryota; Viridiplantae; Streptophyta; Magnoliopsida; Poales; Poaceae.